RNAcentral lists this ribosomal RNA (497 nucleotides) under uncultured bacterium. Its description in RNAcentral is "partial 16S ribosomal RNA". It matches the Rfam family "Bacterial small subunit ribosomal RNA", at positions 28 to 507 of the family's 1533-position model. The record is from RNAcentral.
GAUGAACGCUGGCGGCGUGCCUAAUACAUGCAAGUCGAGCGAACGGACGAGAAGCUUGCUUCUCUGAUGUUAGCGGCGGACGGGUGAGUAACACGUGGAUAACCUACCUAUAAGACUGGGAUAACUUCGGGAAACCGGAGCUAAUACCGGAUGAUAUUUUGAACCGCAUGGUUCAAUAGUGAAAGACGGUCUUGCUGUCACUUAUAGAUGGAUCCGCGCUGCAUUAGCUAGUUGGUAAGGUAACGGCUUACCAAGGCAACGAUGCAUAGCCGACCUGAGAGGGGGAUCGGCCACACUGGAACUGAGACACGGUCCAGACUCCUACGGGAGGCAGCAGUAGGGAAUCUUCCGCAAUGGGCGAAAGCCUGACGGAGCAACGCCGCGUGAGUGAUGAAGGUCUUCGGAUCGUAAAACUCUGUUAUUAGGGAAGAACAUAUGUGUAAGUAACUGUGCACAUCUUGACGGUACCUAAUCAGAAAGCCACGGCUAACUACGUG